RNAcentral lists this ribosomal RNA (250 nucleotides) under Gomphales sp. 10 CRJH-2017. Its description in RNAcentral is "partial 28S ribosomal RNA". It matches the Rfam family "Eukaryotic large subunit ribosomal RNA", at positions 104 to 344 of the family's 3401-position model. The record is from RNAcentral. Lineage: Eukaryota; Fungi; Basidiomycota; Agaricomycetes; Gomphales.
AAAGCUCAAAUUUAAAAUCUGGUGGUCCUCGCGGCCGUCCGAGUUGUAAUCUGGAGAAGUGUUUUCCGCGCUGGACCGUGUACAAGUCUUCUUGAACGGAGCAUCAUAGAGGGUGAGAAUCCCGUCUUUGACACGGACUGCCAGUGCUUUUGUGAUACGCUCUCGACGAGUCGAGUUGUUUGGGAAUGCAGCUCAAAAUGGGUGGUAAAUUCCAUCUAAAGCUAAAUACAGGCGAAAGACCGAUAGCGAA